AGCAGCCGCGGUAAUUCUAGCUCCAAUAGUGUAUAUUAAAGUUGUUGCAGUUAAAAAGCUCGUAGUUGAAUUUCGAAAUUUUUUAUCGGUUGAAUCAACAGGUUCGUACUGAUUUUAAGAAUUUCUACCUUCUGGAGAACCUUAAUGUCAUUUAUUUGAUGUUUUGGGAAACCAGGACUGUUACCUUGAAAAAAUUAGAGUGUUUAAAGCAGGCUUAUGUCUGAAUAUAUUAGCAUGGAAUAAUGAAAUAGGACGGCAUGGUUCUAUUUUGUUGGUUUCUAGGAUCACCGUAAUGAUUAAUAGGGAUAGUUGGGGGCAUUAGUAUUCAAUUGUCAGAGGUGAAAUUCUUGGAUUUAUUGAAGACUAACUUCUGCGAAAGCAUUUGCCAAGGAUGUUUUCAUUAAUCAAGAACGAAAGUUAGGGGAUCGAAGACGAUCAGAUACCGUCGUAGUCUUAACCAUAAACUAUGCCGACUAGGAAUCGGACGAAGUUAAUUUUUUAAUGACUCGUUCGGCGCCUU
This 520-nucleotide ribosomal RNA is filed under the name uncultured Pacispora. RNAcentral describes it as "SSU rRNA". It matches the Rfam family "Eukaryotic small subunit ribosomal RNA", at positions 569 to 1089 of the family's 1831-position model. The record is from RNAcentral. Lineage: Eukaryota; Fungi; Glomeromycota; Glomeromycetes; Diversisporales; Pacisporaceae.